UACGUAGGGUGCAAGCGUUAUCCGGAAUUAUUGGGCGUAAAGAGCUCGUAGGCGGUUUGUCGCGUCUGCUGUGAAAACCUAAGGCUCAACCUUGGGCUUGCAGUGGGUACGGGCAGACUAGAGUGAUGUAGGGGAGACUGGAAUUCCUGGUGUAGCGGUGAAAUGCGCAGAUAUCAGGAGGAACACCGGUGGCGAAGGCGGGUCUCUGGGCCGAUACUGACGUGAGGAGCGAAAGCGUGGGGAGCGAACAGG
Molecule: ribosomal RNA, 252 nt
Filed under: uncultured bacterium
Lineage: Bacteria
Description: partial 16S ribosomal RNA
Rfam family: Bacterial small subunit ribosomal RNA
Source: RNAcentral